UGGGCACGGUGGCAGUGGCUGUUGGA
This 26-nucleotide non-coding RNA is filed under the name Homo sapiens (human). The record is from RNAcentral. Lineage: Eukaryota; Metazoa; Chordata; Mammalia; Primates; Hominidae.